UAAUACGUAAGUGGCGAGCGUUAUCCGGAAUCACUGGGCGUAAAGCGUGCGUAGGCGGUUUGGCAAGUUGGAUUUGAAAGCCCGGGGCUCAACUCCGGACCCGGAUCCAAAACUGCCAGACUAGAGCGGAUCAGAGGACAGUGGAAUUCCCGGUGUAGCGGUAAUAUGCGUAGAUAUCGGGAGGAACACCAGUGGCGAAGGCGACUGUCUGGGGUCUUGCUGACGCUGAGGCACGAAAGCCAGGGGAGCGAACGGGAUUAGAUACCCCGGUAGUCCUGGCCAUAAACGAUGAACACUAGGUGUCGGAGGCUUCGACCCCUUCGGCGCCGCCGCUAACGCAUUAAGUGUUCCGCCUGGGGAGUACGGCCGCAAGGUUA
Molecule: ribosomal RNA, 377 nt
Filed under: uncultured bacterium
Lineage: Bacteria
Description: bacterial SSU rRNA
Rfam family: Bacterial small subunit ribosomal RNA
Source: RNAcentral